CUUGCCAUGCCUCCAGGUACCUCCCCCAAAGCUCCCGUUGUCCACAAUUCCCUGUUCCCAGCCAAUGGGAGCUGUGGGGGGCAGUGCCUGGAGGCAAGGGCAACACACAGGGCCCUCUCUGCUGCGCCGCCCACCCCCUCCCCAGCCGCAGGGAUGUGGUGCUGGCCACUUAGCGCAGGGCCUGCGGCACCACAGGGAGCAAGUCCUGCAGGCUGGAUCCUUCCUGCAGGCCAUAGUUUACCAACCCCUGAUUUAUGGUGUUUGAAGAAUAUUUCAAUAUUUUAUUUUGGAAACUUCAGUAAAAGAGUAACUAACUUAACAGUGGAUAAAAUUUGUCAACUUAUGUGGCUCUAAUGCAUCCCCUGUUGAAAGGGGCCUGGGUUCAUAUUUUGUUAAGGAGGAAAUGUAAAUGGCUGUUCAGGUAUUAAAACUUUUUUGCGUUCUCAAGCCCUGGGUGCUGAAAGCAGUCUCUGAACUAGGCUGAAUAACAAAGCAGCCAUCAGUAGAUCAAAAUCCUGAUGCAUUCUAGUGUGUCAAGGAUUUUUGAUCCUAAAUAUGACAUCUCAUUCAUUUGACUGAUACCCCUCUUCUCCUCCCUCACCCCCUGGCCCAUUAAAACUGUCUUAUUUUUUGAGACAAUUUUGCUUUCCCUUCCACCUUACAAUAGGGCUGCAGUCUAAUUCUGGGCUCUCAAGUCAGAGCCUUUUGCCUAUUCCAACAAAAAGGAGCUGUUGCCCAAAUUAAGGAUAGCUGUACAGCUUUCAUUUUGUUUAGCUAGUGGUGUCUAGGUAAGAUACUUUCACUCUCUCAGAUCAUCUAAAGGCAAGGAACAAAGCUUCUAGGCCCUCUCUCAAACUAGAGAACUAUCAUGUUUUAAACAGUUACAUACUGAACUAUAGGAGCCAAGCUGACUUGUAUUCUGAGCCAGAUCUACUUUACCACAGUGUCCUGAACUAAAACUACUUUAUUCCUGAGUGAGAGAUCCACUCAAGGGUUUUAACACCUUUUAAUGUAUGUGCAUUAACUUCAUACCUUCAGUUGACUUGCCUUAUUGUAGACAGGGCCUUAGGCUUUGUCUACACUAGCCCUUUUGCCAAUAGGGGUAUGGAAAAAACAUACCCCUGAUCAACAUAAGAUUCACUGACAAAAGUGCCAGUGUGAACAGUGCUAUGUCAGCAGGAGAAAUAGCUACCACCACUUGUUGGGUGUGAUUUAAUUAUGCCAGCAGGAGAGCUCUCUCCAGCAGCAUAGCACAGCUACAUGGGAGACCUUACAGCAGCACAACUGUAACAGUACUGCUGUGUCUCUAAGGUCUGUAGUGUAGAGAAAGCCUUAGAGUGGUAACUUACCACUAUUUUAACUAGGUUUAUUUGCCACUUAAAAAUCUACUCAUUAAAUCUCAAAUCAGCAAUUAUUCUCUUUUCACUUCUAAAAGAUUUUGUUUGUUUCAUUAAUAUGUACUGUUUGCAUUUGUAGUUCAACUUUGAAACUACUUUUCAGUGGUUACCAUUCCAGAGUGACAUGCUGGAACAAAUUCACAUGCAUAUAAAGGCAUAGCCUACAGUUGUUUUUAGGCUCUAUUUUUAAACUUGUUCUAAUAGGUUGAGCAAUGUUUAACAAGUUGUAUUCCACAAUCCUGUUGGUUGAAGGAAAAAAAACACGCUUCAUGUAGGAGCCAGUGUGUCUGGAUUCAGCCAGCUAGCUAGCCACUCUGUUUCCUUAAGCUCUAGUGCUGGGACUACUGAUCCUUGUCCUUAAAGACAACUAGAAGAGCUAUGUUGAUUUCUGGUACAGAAGGGAGAAAAUGACUGAAUAGUUUUCAGAGUAGCAGCUGGUUUGUCUGUAUCCACAAAAAGAGGAGUACCUGUGGCACCUUAGAGACUAACAAAUAGUGUUGUCUUUUACCAGUCAAGUGACUAAAACUUUAUUCUAAAAAAGGAAGAGGGUUACUCCUUUUUUUAAUUUAAAAAAAAAAAAAAACCCACACCUAACUUUAUUGCGUGCAAAGUGCCAAAUCUCACAUUUAGGUAUAACUAGUUCUGUUUAUAAAAGCAAGGGAAAUUCCUUUGUUUAGCCUACAUGCUCAUUUGUCUUUUAUUAUCCACUGCUACAAGUAUUGUGGAUCUGAGCUUUAUUAAAAAAUGAUACAUUUACAGUUGUGUAAUCAUGCUGUGCAUUAAUAGCUACUGCAUUUUAGUAAAAUGGAGUGCUUUAAGGUUCAUUAUGAUGAAAGGUAACUGAAGGCUACCUAAUAAACUUCAGUGGGAGUCUAAAUGGACAAUGUAAAUAUUUCAUACUGAUUCCUGUCCAGAUGAAACUUUUUUGUGAUUAAAAAAAAAUAAAAAUGCAUAGGAUUGAUCUAGGUGGUUAAGACUUAGGUUAUAUUGUACUCUAGGGUCCAUAUUCAGAUUAGACACUAAACCAAUCACCAUUAAUUCAGAAUAGAAAGACUUCUACUGAUGUGCUGUUCAACCUUGUCCUAGGCCUAGCUGCUGAGAUCUGACUGAACCUCAUCACAAGGGGAGCUGGUGAUGGAUCUCUAGAUAAUGUGUCUAGAUAAUGUGGAGUUUGUGCUUCUCUAAUGGAGACCAUCAAAGCCAAAAAACUGUUCAUGACUUCGUAAUUUUGAAUGGAUUACUUCUGUUAGUGGUUACAAUUUUUUUUUUCCAAAUUGCAAUCCAUAUUUCUUAAUAUUUAGAUCUUGCAUAAAAAGUAGGGACAGGGACUUGCAGUGCUAACAAGUCCCCUUUUUCAGAUCUGCUUUCACAUACUCCAGUGUAUAAAGUUAAGGAUUUUUAGUGGGUUAUUAGCUCCUUAAAUAACAGGAAGCAUGUGGCUUCUUGUAUGAAUUUUUUUCUAUAGUGAGAGGUUAAGCACCAAUUAUACAGACAUUGUAGCAACUGCAAGGAAACUUGCAUCCUGUUUACAAUAGCAAGUAUAUCUAAACCUGUUCAGUGAACAUUUGUCACAUGUUUGCAACAAGCUAUUUCUAAAAACUUUUCAGAUAUUUUAAUGUCACAUCUGUUCAGUGUUUGCCCUUACCGUAAUAUCUGAAACCUUUAAAGGAUGGUUUAACCUUUAAACAUUAUACAACAGCAGUGUAAAAAAAAAAAAAAAAAAAAAAAAAAAAAAAAAAAAAAAAUUUGGAGGUGGCAACUGAAAGCCUCCAGUUUGUAUGGGCAUGAGGGAAAUAGGAACUACUUGGAAAUGAUGUGCUUUGGCAAUAUGCCUUCAAGUAAUAUGUGAGUGCCCUUCAAACAUGGUUCGCUGAAGGAAAUUCUAGAUAUGGCAUUUGUUGUACUGCAUUCAACACUAACCUACAAUAGAAUAAAACCCAAAAAACAGAUUAUUCAAAAACUAAAUCUAGUAGAUAGGUAACGGUAGCAGAAAAUGUCCCUAUAUCAAAGUAGAUCUGGUUCUGCUUUUAGUUCAGUCCCUCUUGAGCACUCUUCUCAAAUCCUGAGUCUAGUCCAGCAGUCCUUGCUCCAGCAAAAUUCAUCUUGGUCUCAAUGGAAAUUUUAUCAGAGUAAAGACCCUGUCUGAAGGGCCAAAGCAACUCUGUGUUUGAUCUCUUAAUUAAAAGAUGUUUACUACUUUUGUGUAUUAAAUUUUUCCAACACUAUUAAUCCUGCUAACUUUUGGCCUCUUGGCCAGUUUGUCCUCUAUCAAUGAGUUACACCCUAAAAAGGACUUCAGUAACAGACUAAUGCUUGUAAUGUAGCUUUUACAGUGGGGGUCAGUCAUCUGCAUUUCAAAUAAUGCCUGUAGACCAGAAAGGCUCCAAAGAAACCAUUAGGGUCUGUAUACUCAUACCAUUCAUAGAAAAAUCUUAUCUAAACAAACUCUGAGGUUCUUUGGCUGUGCAGAUCAUUUUAAUUAUAUUGAGCAUUUGACUGCAGUCCCCUCAGGGCAGGGCUAAUCAUGCUGUCAGUCCUUGACAAAAUUACUUUGGUCCACAUUGUACCGUCUGCUGUUGGGGUGCAUGAUACAGUGAGCCAGAGAAUCCUGACCUUAAGGGUAUGUAUGGAAGGGGGGGUGUGACCACAUCUACACUAAACUUUAGCUGCCUUGGUCAGGGUGAUCUGCAUAGCUGUGCCAGCAGACAUCUCUAGUUCAGAUACUAUUAUACCAGCAGAACUGCAUUUUGCCAGUAUACCUUAUUUUGCUGGAGUGGGACUGGGAUAAUGUGCAGUUCUGCUGUUACAAGCUGCGUACACACUAGGACUGCUUUGCUCGUAUAGCAUACUUUAUACUAGGAGCAAUUUACUAGUACAACUUGGCCUGAGUCAUUUUAGUAGGGUUUUUCCAUCUUACUCCAUGGAAACUCCUUUGUGAUCCAGGUUAAAAUAAAGUAUAGAUGAAAGGGAGUGAUGCAAAAUACCAUUUUCCUUCUCUCCCUCAAAACUUCCAUAGUUUAAUGUUUUUCCAGCCAACUCUUACUCAUCCGGUCUUUGUGCUGAGGAAGGAUGCUUGGUGUAGCAGCUGAUUGGCAGCUCUUGUCAGUAGCUUCUUCAGGACCCCUAUUGCUAGAUCUGGGAGCUGGUGUGAAGACACAGGGCCUCAAGCCUGGUAACUUAUGCCUCUGAUUCUUGAAUUGAUCAGGUGUAGACUUUGCUCACUGAUGCACAUUGUGACAUAGUGCUCCCUGUAUAAAAGGAACUCCUGAUAUUAUGAACCAAUUUAGCUUUCAGAUUGGUAUACUUUUCUUUUUUUUUUUUUUUUUGAGACACUUGAUAACUUUUGGCAGCUUAAUAUUAAGGGAAAAAACACAAGAGGUGUUGGAACAUUUUCAGCUUUUUUUAGGCCCCCAGAUUUGUGGGGAUGGGGAUUAAUUCCUAAUAUUAAGGGAAGUGUUUCCAUUAAAGUGUAUUUUACAGUUCUCUCCCUAAAACAACUUUACUCAGUUAAGUGCUGAAUAUCACAAAUAUCAAGUAUGAGUCCGCAUUAACGGGUAGAUUUUUUUUUCAAAAGGCCUCAGUUCUCAUAAUCAAAAUGAAUUUUCAAUAUAACUUAUGCCGAACAUAGUAAGUUAUUGAAAACCUGUGUGUAAGUAUCAAUAGGAACUUGCAGAGGCUGAGCAGUUCUGAAAAUUUGGCCUUUAUAUAGGUGUCCAAAAUGAGCUGAGCUCUUUAGAAAAAUCUAGCUCUCAUCAAAAAUUAUUUUCACUGAUGUGAAGAAUUAAAUUUCUUCAUGGUAGCGAUACCCCAGAAUGCAUAAUUGGGAUGUCAAAGACAGAAGGAAUUAUUGCCCUAAAAUAAAAGUAUCAUUUACUUGAAUUUCCAUCUGUCUGAGGAAUAGGGCCCAAUCGAUAUAGUCAUUAAGUGCUAGCCAUGGAUUUGCUCAGUCAAGCAAGUCUGCCUGGUAGCUGUGACAUUCUUGUAUAAUAUAUUCAAGUUGCAGUGGAGCUGUUUGGCAUGACAUCAGUUUGUCCAAAGGUGGGGUGGGGGAGGAACUUGAAUAAACUUACCUGUGGACUUGCUUUUUAGUUUUGCCGUCUAGGAAACUCUGCUAUAUUGAAUAGCACCAUAAAUCAUGCAUUCUGUCUAAUACUGAAACAAAAAUGGUCUGAUUUAUGCAAAUAGCUAAUAACUUGCGGCUUACAAAGCUGACUGAUUUUAAAAACCAUUUGCUAGGCACUUAAAAUAUUUUACUGCAUUUGAAAAAUGAACUUGCAAAUGGCAAAGUUCAUGGCCUACCCACAGCUGCAUUGCUGUUCAUAUAUCAAAUAUUACUGAGGGAUAAAAAAGAAUGUACUACUCUGUUCCUUCUGAGAGGCUAAAUAAAUUACUUGGGCAGCAUAUAAAUGCAUGCCAAGACAGUGUUGGAGUUGGUAACAUUAAUAUGACUCUUUGCAAAGUCAUCAAGAGCUUCAAAACUUCCUCAUGUUCCAAGUCCAUGCAUGCAGGGAAGAGGCCCUGCUGCAAAGGGCUUGUCUAUAUUACCUGCUGGAUCAACAGGCAGCAAUCAAUCCAGUGGGGGUGGAUUUAUUGCAUCUAGUCCGGAUGCAAUAAAUCAACCCCCAGGUGCUCUCUUGUCAACUCCGGUACUCCACCAGGGCAAGAGGCGGAGUCAACUGGAGAGCAUCAGCCAUUGACUUACCUCAGUGAAGACACCACGUAGAUCUAAGUACGUCAACUUCAGCUAUGUUGUUCAUGUAGCUGAAGUUGCAUAACUUGGAUCAAUUUUCCCUCCCCCAGUGUAAACGAGCCUUUACUGAGCUCUAGUGUUUUCUGUUCUUGGGAAGUUCACUGAUUAAGUGCAACUCACCCUGCCCCUCUCUCCAAGAGGCAAAAUGGUGUAGUGGUGUGUAUGGCAACAGUGGUUUGUCUGCACUUGGAAAUAUCAGUGUAAUGUAAUAUAACAGCCUCACUGUAAACAAGGACUGUUGUGUUUAAAAUUGUUAUGGCUAACACUUGUUUGUUAAAUCUUUAUCAUGUUAACAUGUAACAAUUAAGUUUUACAAUAUAGAGAAGCCCAGGUAUAAAGAAAGGGGAAGAAGGUGGAGAACUAGAAGAAUUAGGAUUAGUUUGUUAGGGAUUGAAUAGGCAAACUGGUCAAGACACGAGGUAAGGUUAAUAGGACAUUGUGGAGUUACUUGUGUGGGUAGAACUCUGCAAGAAUUUGGAUCGCUGUUGGAAGACGGGCUGCAAAUCAGAACACCUCUUUCAGGGUGUGGGGGGAAAUCAGACAUUUAAUUGAAGUCCUGGUGUUUGGUUGAAGUGGAAAGCAAAGCAGAUGUAAACAUAGGCAGAAAUUUAGGAAGCAUGAAAAUGGAGUAGCAUUGUACUGGUUAUGUCAUUGAGAGCCAUAUGUGGAGGGAAUCUUAUGCACAGAUGUUUUCCUCCCCUCGGAUGUGUCAUUUCAUUUACUUGGAUGAUGUGAAGGGCAGUCAAAAUGAUCUGUGUGGGGAGGAAAUAGAGGGUCUGGGGCAUACAAAUUAUUGCCUCCCCUCCUAUUUCUCUGGAGUUCAGGGCUGAAAACAAACAGAGUGGGCUUGUAUUAUUUUGCUACAUUCCUGUUUAAGAGGGAUCCUGAGGGAAGGAAGUCAUGACCACAGUAGUUCCUGACAAGCAUGGCUCCAUUUGAACCAUGCUGUCAUGGAACAGGGCUGGAGCCACAGCAGGCUGCAGAACCAUGUGGAAGGUUUCGGUCUCCUGCUGAUCCCUUGGGAGCCCUGGUGUUCAGUGGUGGGUCUUGCAGUUUGUUCAGUGCAGUGGGGUGGGGAAACCACUCCCUCCUCCUUGAGAAAACAAAUAGGAAGACAGCUGUUUUAGUUUCUCUUCUUCUCCUUCCUCCACCCCUACCCAAUCUAACAAUCAGGCUCACUGUUAUGAUAGUGACAUUUUGAUGCAUUAUGUCUAAAUACAAAACAGCUUUUCACCCCUUCUCAGAUAUCAUACUGGUACUUUGAAUUUCUAUAGCACCUCCUAUUCAAGAAUAUCAAACCACUUUAUAGACAUUCAUAAUGAAUUUAUCCACUCAACUUGCUGUGAUGUAGGUGGUAUUGUUUCUAAUUUACAGAUGAGGAAAUUGGGGAAUAAACCUAAGAAACUGGACAACUGUGGCAAGGCUGCUAACUGUUUCCUGACUCCAAUGCAUGUGCCUUAACCACAUGACCAUCCUUCCUCCUUUGUGACUAGAUUGUCUAGUGCUUGUGCAUGUACACCCCUCCAUCUGUGUACAUCCACUGUAUUUCAGUUCUGUGUUCAGACGAGUGAAUAAACUGCUCUUAGUGCCCCUAAAGGCAUGGAGAAGGGGGAGGGCAUGCCCCCUUUCCCCUACCACACACCGAGGUGCAGAGAAAGGGGAUAGUACAGCUUGCACACUCAGAGUGCUCUGUUGAGCUCCAGGGGAUUGUGCCUCUGACACAGUCCCUUCUGGAGUCCAUGGGUUAUGGCUGGUCUGCACCAUUGUGCCCAAGAUAUAAACUUGCAUUGAUGAUGAUCUGGCCCUUUAUUAUCUUUAUGGAUAUAACUAUACUAGAAGCCUAGCUGCCAUAGUGGUAUAGAUUAAAUGUACAUUCUUUUCUACUCACAUGAGCAUAAUCGCAUAUUAGCACACAAGACCUGUGAAGUACCAGCUGGCUGUACAGAUGCAACCAUUCAACAUGUAUGAGGGAAAAUAAAUUGCAAAAUAAAAAUAAAAAAAAAAUUGGUUUGACUU
Molecule: long non-coding RNA, 8163 nt
Organism: Dermochelys coriacea (leatherback sea turtle)
Lineage: Eukaryota; Metazoa; Chordata; Testudines; Dermochelyidae
Exons: 2
Source: RefSeq, a predicted model, not a curated record